CAAACUAUAGCUUAUUCUAAAGCUUUUUAGUUACAUUAAUAAGAAAAUUUAACAUUUUAGUUUGA
RNAcentral lists this transfer RNA (65 nucleotides) under Abrus expansivus. RNAcentral's name for it is "tRNA-Val". Lineage: Eukaryota; Metazoa; Arthropoda; Insecta; Hemiptera; Cicadellidae. The record is from RNAcentral.